AAGUAAUUGUUUAAUUGUUUGGUGAGUCAGGAGGAGACUGAUUCUUAGCUUGAGCACUCAAGUGUGAUGUGAGAGGCUGGGUUCUGCUUUGUUUGGUUGCAGAUUCUUCUUCCUCACAUGGCUGAGUAUGAUAUGUUGCGACCUUCAGUACCUAUCCUGUGUCUUUUAAGGACUUCCUCAGCCAGGGAACACAUUCGUUGGUUUAAGAGUAACUGAUAGUGCCACAUCCUACAGGAGGCAAGGUCGAUGCUGCUCUGCCCAGCAGUACCACUUUCUGUUACAGUGCCUUUGCUGUGGUGCUCUCCGUUCAGCGUUUCCUUAAUUUGGUGCCAACAGAAGCAUGCAGAAUGGUGCCCAACUGUGUACUAGCCAGAGAGCCAAGCUGGAUGGCGUACAGAUUCCCAGGAAGAUGCGGUGUAGUUGUUGAAAGGAUAGGAAUCUCUUGAUUUCUAGAUGAAUGUUGGCAAAAUGUCCGCUUUUGACCCCACUGUAGCUGCAGUCGUUCUCCUUGGCUCUGAGCGUGGUAAAGAGUCUGCAAGAGCUUCCAUCAUCCAUCGAUAGAAGAAUUAAACUUUGCUGCACUCCAGCUAGCUAGGGAAGCAUGCGGGUUGGUUGGCUGUCCUGGCUGGAUUCUUCUGAAGAGCUUCCUUCCAUGCUUCAUGUUCUUCCCUUGUUUGAGUAACUGUGAAGGAGAGGAAUGGGAUGAGAUGCCUCCAAUAUGAAUUUGAUAAUUCUUCUACUUUCCUGUUAGGUUUGAGAGCAGAGCCUUGUGGCUCUGAUCAAAAUGUAUGGCAAACACUUCAUAGGCAGUCCUUGUCCAGAGAGCCUGGCCAUGCAUGCAGAGGGAGGACUGGAGGGGGGAGAGGUACAGUCAGGAGACGUGUCGUGGGGUGCAGCAGGAGAAGGAUGGAGCCAUUGCUGCCAAGUCGGGGCAGUUUUUCAGUUGGCACAAAAAAAUCAGUAAUUUUAACUGAGUAAAUACUAAUUUUGUUUCCAGGACAAAAAGAAUAGUUAGUGUGAAGAAUGUGUAAAUUUCCCGUGUAUUUCUAGUGAAUAUUUAAUAUAAUGCAAUUAGAGGCUGGCUAAGAAUUAUACAGCUUUUAAAAACCAACAAAUAAAUGGACUCCUGUUUUC
This is a long non-coding RNA of Gallus gallus (chicken), 1134 nucleotides long. Lineage: Eukaryota; Metazoa; Chordata; Aves; Galliformes; Phasianidae. The record is from Ensembl.